ACGAACGCUGGCGGCGUGCUUAACACAUGCAAGUCGAGCGGUAAGGCCCUUUCGGGGGUACACGAGCGGCGAACGGGUGAGUAACACGUGGGUGACCUGCCCUCAGCUCUGGGAUAAGCCUGGGAAACCGGGUCUAAUACUGGAUAUGACUCCAUGACGCAUGUUGUGGGGUGGAAAGCCUUGUGCGGCUGAGGAUGGGCCCGCGGCCUAUCAGCUUGUUGGUGGGGUGAGGCCUACCAAGGCGACGACGGGUAGCCGGCCUGAGAGGGCGACCGGCCACACUGGGACUGAGACACGGCCCAGACUCCUACGGGAGGCAGCAGUGGGGAAUAUUGGACAAUGGGGGCAACCCUGAUCCAGCAAUGCCGCGUGAGUGAUGAA
RNAcentral lists this ribosomal RNA (381 nucleotides) under uncultured bacterium. RNAcentral's name for it is "bacterial SSU rRNA". It matches the Rfam family "Bacterial small subunit ribosomal RNA", at positions 29 to 412 of the family's 1533-position model. The record is from RNAcentral.